GUUUGUGACCAUGUCAUGCCUGUGUGGGAGGGCCUCUGGCUGUGCUUCUAUAUAAAACAGUCUGGCUGUGACACUACGAAUCAGCACAUGUGCACCCAUCAGGAGCGGCUGCUGCGAUUCUUUUGACAGAUGUUGAGAAUGAAAAUGAUGAGGGCAUAUACGGUACUUGUGGUUGGUGAUGCUGAAGUCCGCUCCCACGGGCGGACCACUAGCCACUGCAGUAGCGGUGAAGCGCAGUGAACGAAGACUGAACCAGUGAGUCCCUCUCACCUGUCCCACAGCCCACGAGAGAGCAGAGUGGCGCUAGGCAUCUGAGUCCCUCUCACCUGUCCCACGGCCCACCGAGAGAGCAGAGCAGCGCUGGGCAUCUGAGGCCACCCAGGAACACUCCUGUCUCCUCCUGCCUGGCUUUGAAACAGAAGAGCCCCUCAACGAUGAAGCACUCCAAUCAACGAUGAACCAUUACAAUCAACGAUGAAGCAUUCCAAUUUAGCCAUCAUAUAGCGUCAUCCUCGGCUUUUCCAGACAUUUCACACCUUUAGUUUCACUUUUGAGCCUUAAGAUGCUUUGUGGAUAUGAGCCCAGGACUUUAGCCAACAUCACAGAAACAUCACAGAAACAUUGUCUUCACGCUAAAGAUGCUCUCCUUUCCUCGUGGGUCUGUGGCAUGGAGUGGGUCCGGUCAUUGGUCAGUUUACUUGGUUAUGUGGCAGGGAGUCCUUGAGCACCAGCUGGUCCAGCGCUGCUCAGGGAGGCCACAAGGAAACGCUCCUAUGAUAAUAAAACACAUCCCAUCUAUGAA
Molecule: long non-coding RNA, 802 nt
Organism: Clupea harengus (Atlantic herring)
Lineage: Eukaryota; Metazoa; Chordata; Actinopteri; Clupeiformes; Clupeidae
Source: RefSeq, a predicted model, not a curated record